CGCGGAGUGGAGCAGUUUGGCAGCUCGUCGGGCUCAUAACCCGAAGGUCACAGGUUCAAGUCCUGUCUCCGCAACCA
Molecule: transfer RNA, 77 nt
Filed under: Mycoplasmopsis canis
Lineage: Bacteria; Bacillati; Mycoplasmatota; Mycoplasmoidales; Metamycoplasmataceae
Also listed under: 5 other names
Description: Mycoplasma canis tRNA-Met
Rfam family: tRNA
About the family: Transfer RNA (tRNA) molecules are approximately 80 nucleotides in length. Their secondary structure includes four short double-helical elements and three loops (D, anti-codon, and T loops).
Source: RNAcentral